AUUGAACGCUGGCGGCAGGCUUAACACAUGCAAGUCGAGCGAGCGGCGGACGGGUGAGUAAUGUGUGGGGAACUGGCUGAUGGAGGGGGAUCACUAGUGGAAAACGUCGGCUAUAACGCCUACAAUCCGAUGAACCCAUAUGGGAUUGGCUUGUAGGUAAGGUAACGGCUUACCUAGGCGACGAUCCCUAGCUGGUCUGAGAGGAUGAUGAGCCACAUUGGGAUUGAGACACGGCCCAGACUCCUACGGGAGGCAGCAGUGGGGAAUAUUGCACAAUGGGCGCAAGCCUGAUGCAGCCAUGCCGCGUGUAUGAAGAAGGCCUUCGGGUUGUAAAGUACGUUCAGUCGGGAGGCGUUACCGACAGAAGAAGCACCGGCUAACUCCGUGCCAGCAGCCGCGGUAAUUC
This 406-nucleotide ribosomal RNA is filed under the name uncultured bacterium. Its description in RNAcentral is "partial 16S ribosomal RNA". It matches the Rfam family "Bacterial small subunit ribosomal RNA", at positions 30 to 526 of the family's 1533-position model. The record is from RNAcentral.